ACAGCCAGUUUAAGACGAGAAAAUGUCGUAAUAUUUAGGUCGCGACCGGCCGCUGCUCAGCCAAUCAGGUGACUUAAGUAGGCCGUGACGUCAUCAAACAACAUGGCGGCGCUCGUAGUAAACAAAUGUGUUUAUUCGGGAUAGAAAGAAAAUCCAGCGGAAACAUUGUAAUUAUGGAAUGUGAAUGCCUUUUGCAUGUUGCCGGGAAUGACGGAGAACACACAGAACCAUUUACUCAAACGAGGUGGGAAACUUUUCGUAGUUUUUGCCGUGUUUGGGCUGAUUUAGCCGGCGAUGAACGGACGAUUGCCGAUAACGCGCUUCCCCUCCUCUCCUUCGAAUUUGAUGAUAUACCAAGCCACAUUGGCUACCACCCGACCUGUUAUCGCCGAUUUACCGACAGGAAGCGAAUAAAUGCUGCCCAGAAACGAAAGCACGAGCCCGUAUCUGAUGAACAGGACAUUAAUAAGUUGCCCUAUAUCCAAUCACCAAAAACGACUGAGAUCAAGAGAAGAGAUCGCCAUCGGAUUUGCCCCUCCUCAACAAGAUAAUCCAAAAGCUGGUCAUAGCCAGCCAAGAAAACAUGUGCUGCCAGCUGUCUGCAUAAUAUGCAAAAUAAGAGAGAAGUUUGAGACUGUCAGGAAUUCUCGCCAGAGGGUGAAACUUGUCAAGGCAGAGACUGUUGAUGGUGGAUUGUUGCGAAAAGCAGCAGAAGCAAAGAAGGAUGAGAGUGUGCUUGUACACAUAAGAGAUAAGGACUGUGUAGCUCUUGAGGUCUACUACCACAGAACCUGCUAUGGAUCAUGCACCAAAUUCUUGACAAGAUCUAAAUCAGAAAGUCAGACACCAGAUGGAAGAUUGUCUGAAGGUUCCAA
This is a long non-coding RNA of Fundulus heteroclitus (mummichog), 875 nucleotides long. RefSeq lists it as uncharacterized. The record is from RefSeq and is a predicted model, not a curated record. The transcript is spliced from 3 exons. NCBI's taxonomy places the organism in Eukaryota, Metazoa, Chordata, Actinopteri, Cyprinodontiformes, Fundulidae.